This 469-nucleotide ribosomal RNA is filed under the name uncultured bacterium. RNAcentral describes it as "partial 16S ribosomal RNA". It matches the Rfam family "Bacterial small subunit ribosomal RNA", at positions 28 to 507 of the family's 1533-position model. The record is from RNAcentral.
GACGAACGCUGGCGGCGUGCUUAACACAUGCAAGUCGAACGGAAAGGCCCUGCUUGCAGGGUGCUCGAGUGGCGAACGGGUGAGUAACACGUGGGUGAUCUGCCCCUUACUUUGGGAUAAGCCUGGUAAACUGGGUCUAAUACUGGAUAGGACCAUGCUGUAGGUGGUGUGGUGGAAAGAUUAGUUUCGGUAAGGGAUGAGCUCGCGGCCUAUCAGCUUGUUGGUGGGGUAAUGGCCUACCAAGGCGUCGACGGGUGGCCGGCCUGAGAGGGUGGACGGCCACAUUGGGACUGAGAUACGGCGCAGACUCCUACGGGAGGCAGCAGUGGGGAAUAUUGCACAAUGGGCGCAAGCCUGAUGCAGCGACGCCGCGUGGGGGAUGACGGCCUUCGGGUUGUAAACUCCUUUCGGCCAUGACGAAGCCCUUGUGGUGACGGUAGUGGUAGAAGAAGCACCGGCUAACUACGUG